RNAcentral lists this ribosomal RNA (497 nucleotides) under uncultured bacterium. RNAcentral describes it as "partial 16S ribosomal RNA". It matches the Rfam family "Bacterial small subunit ribosomal RNA", at positions 28 to 507 of the family's 1533-position model. The record is from RNAcentral.
GCUGAACGCUGGCUGCGUGCCUAACACAUGCAAUUCGAACUUCCGCACAUGAAGCUCGCUCCCCUGAUGUUAGCGGCUGACGGUUGAGUAACACUUCCAUAACCUCCCCAUUAGACUCGGUUAACUUCGGGAAAACGGUGCUCUUACUGGAUCAUAUUUUGAACCGCAUGGUUCAACUGCGAAUGCAGGUCUUGCUGUCCAUUAUUGAUGGCUCCGCGCUGCAUUCGCUAGUUGGUAAGGUAAAGGCUUACCAAGGCAACGAUGCGUAGCCGACCUGAGAGGGUGAUCGGCAACACUGGAACUGAGACACGGUCCAGACUCCUACGGGAGGCAGCAGUAGGGAAUAUUCCGCAAUGGGCGAAAGCCUGACGGAGCAACGCCGCGUGAGUGAUGAAGGUCUUCGGAUCGUAAAACUCUGUUAUUAGGGAAGAACAGAUGUGUAAGUAACUGUGCACAUCUUGACGGUACCUAAUCAGAAAGCCACGGCUAACUACGUG